GACGAACGCUGGCGGCGUGCCUAAUACAUGCAAGUAGAACGCUGAAGGAGGAGCUUGCUUCUCCGGAUGAGUUGCGAACGGGUGAGUAACGCGUAGGUAACCUGCCUGGUAGCGGGGGAUAACUAUUGGAAACGAUAGCUAAUACCGCAUAAGAGUAGAUGUCGCAUGACAUUUGCUUAAAAGGUGCAACUGCACCACUACCAGAUGGACCUGCGUUGUAUUAGCUAGUUGGUGAGGUAACGGCUCACCAAGGCAACGAUACAUAGCCGACCUGAGAGGGGGAUCGGCCACACUGGGACUGAGACACGGCCCAGACUCCUACGGGAGGCAGCAGUAGGGAAUCUUCGGCAAUGGACGGAAGUCUGACCGAGCAACGCCGCGUGAGUGAAGAAGGUUUUCGGAUCGUAAAGCUCGGUUGUAAGAGAAGAACGAGUGUGAGAGUGGAAAGUUCACACUGUGACGGUAUCUUACCAGAAAGGGACGGCUAACUACGUG
RNAcentral lists this ribosomal RNA (495 nucleotides) under uncultured bacterium. RNAcentral's name for it is "partial 16S ribosomal RNA". It matches the Rfam family "Bacterial small subunit ribosomal RNA", at positions 28 to 507 of the family's 1533-position model. The record is from RNAcentral.